RNAcentral lists this ribosomal RNA (450 nucleotides) under uncultured bacterium. Its description in RNAcentral is "partial 16S ribosomal RNA". It matches the Rfam family "Bacterial small subunit ribosomal RNA", at positions 354 to 796 of the family's 1533-position model. The record is from RNAcentral.
GUGGGGAAUCUUCCGCAAUGGACGAAAGUCUGACGGAGCAACGCCGCGUGAGUGAAGAAGGUUUUCGGAUCGUAAAGCUCUUUCGUUAGGGACGAACGUGCUCUUUGUGAAUAAUGAGGAGUAAUGACGGUACCUAAAUAAGAAGCCACGGCUAACUACGUGCCAGCAGCCGCGGUAAUACGUAGGUGGCAAGCGUUGUCCGGAAUUAUUGGGCGUAAAGCGCGCGCAGGCGGGAUAUCAAGUCUGUCUUAAAAGUGCGAGGCUCAACCUCGUGAGGGGACAGAAACUGGUAUUCUUGAGUGUCGGAGAGGAAAGUGGAAUUCCAAGUGUAGCGGUGAAAUGCGUAGAGAUUUGGAAGAACACCAGUGGCGAAGGCGACUUUCUGGACGAUGUCUGACGCUGAGGCGCGAAAGCCAGGGGAGCGAACGGGAUUAGAUACCCCGGUAGUCC